UCUGGCAGCCACACGGCUUUGUGCUGUGAGCCUGUCCGUCCUUACUAGCUAAGCGAGGGCUGCUCUGCUCUGCUGCAAGGAUGAGAGACCUCCCAGGAACAAGAAGGUACUUCAGGAA
Molecule: ribosomal RNA, 118 nt
Filed under: Neogale vison (American mink)
Lineage: Eukaryota; Metazoa; Chordata; Mammalia; Carnivora; Mustelidae
Source: RNAcentral